Lycium ferocissimum is the source of this 390-nucleotide long non-coding RNA. RefSeq lists it as uncharacterized. NCBI's taxonomy places the organism in Eukaryota, Viridiplantae, Streptophyta, Magnoliopsida, Solanales, Solanaceae. The transcript is spliced from 2 exons. The record is from RefSeq and is a predicted model, not a curated record.
CAUUAUUUGUACAUGUAUACUAACCCGAAAUGGAUUCUUGAGCCAUAUUGAUAUUGUCAACGGUGAAAUCAGAGUGCUAAAGGUGGUGUGGCUUUGGAAAUAUCAACAACAAAAGAGAGAGAGAGAAUUAAAGAGAGCAGAGUGGAAGAGGGGUUUAUGAAGUUGACAAGAAAGAAAAAUCAAUAAACGUGCUAGAUCUCCUGUUUCUUGCCACCCCUUACUACCUUUUGCUGACACGGCAUAAAAUGUAUCUCAAUUUUCAGCUUCUGAAAAUUUACUGUACAUCAGUAUUUUCUUUACGACAUCUUAAUGAAAUCAGAGUCUUUGCAUAGUCAAUAGUUUAACGGAAUAAUCUUGUCUUCAAUCCAAUUUAGAGCCUGUUUGAAUGGG